Molecule: ribosomal RNA, 744 nt
Filed under: Triticum aestivum (bread wheat)
Lineage: Eukaryota; Viridiplantae; Streptophyta; Magnoliopsida; Poales; Poaceae
Description: partial small subunit ribosomal RNA
Source: RNAcentral
AUGGCGGAGGUGUGGAGUAUACCGGACAUCGAGUCAGUCCGUAACACCGGCCCGGAGUGGCUCCUGAACCUAAUUGCAGAAAGCAAUGAAGGGGACUGGCUGCGCCUGAUUAUGCUACUGUGGAGAUGUUGGCAUGUGCGCAACGGGAUCACUCAUGACAAACCGGCGCCGCCUGUGGAGAUAUCUCGUCGCUUUUUGCAGAGCUACGUAACCUCACUGCUCGGGAUCCAGCAGUAUCCACAGGGAGAUUGGGACAAAGGGAAGAUGACCAUCCAACAAGAAGGUGCAGAACAACCUAUAUCACAUGUGGGAGGUGUGCCACGAACAACCCACAAAUGGAGUCCCCCACCCGCCAACUGGACGAAGCUGAAUGUCGACGGUUCCUUUUUCCAUGAUGACGGGAGGGCCGGACGGGAAUGGUGCUCCGUGACUAGGAAGGGGACAUUAUUUUCUCCGUGUGUCGCUCGCUAUGGUCUUGCCCGGACCCUCUACAUGCCGAGCUGGCUGGUGCAACUGAUCAAUGCCUCAGGACAAGACCGCUCACAGUACGCCAUGGUGGUCUCGGAAGUGAAGCAUCUUAUGAGUGAAAGGGAGUGUCAUGUUAUUCAUAUUUCUCGAGAGCAGAAUAAUGUAAGCCAUGCGUUGGCGAACUUUGGAAGGACGGAAGACCGUACUGUGGUCUGGCUCCACUCCGGCCCGGACAAUAUCCCUAGCUUGUGUAGGGAGGACCUUCUUGGCUCUUGA